Molecule: long non-coding RNA, 10905 nt
Organism: Manis javanica (Malayan pangolin)
Lineage: Eukaryota; Metazoa; Chordata; Mammalia; Pholidota; Manidae
Source: RefSeq, a predicted model, not a curated record
UCCAUUUUCUUUAACAGUUACAUUCCUUCCAGACUGUAUGACUGUAUUAAUAGGUUUUUAUCUACUGUUCUAACGAAGGACUCAUUGGUGGUUUGCCAUUUUUCACCAUUACAAACAAUACUACAGCAAAUAUUCCUGUACACAAAUUUGUGUGCUUAUAAUAUAAAUAUUUCUGAAGGAUGUACUCCUGGAAGUGGGAUUUCUGGACCAAAUGGCAUGCACAUUUAAGUUUUUGGUAAAUACCACAGAUCUCUUAAAAAAUAUAAUUUAUCUAUCCCCCAUCAUACCCAUCAACACUGGAUGUUAUCGAUUUUUUAAAAAAUUGCUAGCAUCAUGUGCAGAAAAAGCUGUAUCAUUUACAAUUGCAUUUCUCUGAUUUACCAGUUGAGAUGUAUAUCUUUUCAUAUGCCUAUUGGCCCUUUGGAUUUUUCUGAACUUUUUCCUUGAAGUAUAAAAAUACAGAAAAGGUACACAAACCUUAAGAGUACUGCUGAAUGAAUACAAGGCGAACACUUCUCGUAACCACCACCCAGGUCAAGAAAUAGAAUGCUGUCCGACCUUUCCCCACCUCCCCAAAAGUUAUCACUAUCCUGACAUCUAGUUCCUAUGAAUUAGUCAUGCCUGUUUUUGAACUUCAUACAAAUGAAAUCAUACAACAUGAGCUCUUUUGCAUCUGGUUUCUUUCAUUCAACAUUAAGUUUAUGAGUCAUUCAUGUACUUGUCUGUAGUUGUAACAUAUUCAUUUACAUUGCUGAUUAUGUUUCAUUUUGUGAAUAUACCACACUUUAUUUAAUAAUGGACAUUUGGAUUAUUUCCAACAUUUAGCCAUUAGCAAAUAAUGAUGCUAUGAACAUUCUUGUGCAUGUCUUUUAGAGUACAUGUGCAUACAUUUCUGUUGGGCAUAUGUCUAGGAAUGAAAUUUUGAAGUCAUGAGCAAUGUUCUUCAUCCAGGCCCACUAUAUUUGUGAAUUUCCUAUGAAAAUUCCUUGCACAUUAAUUAUUGGGUGGUUUGUGUUUUAUUAUUGAUUAGUGUGUGUUCUAUUUAUUCUGGAUGUUAAUUCUGUAUUAUAUCUUUUGGAAAUAUUUUGACUAGUCUUUAUUUAUAUUACCUUUUAUUUCACAAAGUUUAAAAUUUGGGGGCAGUAAAAUCUGUAAAUCUUUUUCUUUAUUUGGUUUAUUCCAUUUCUGGGUUUGAUGUCUUGCUUAGAAAGUCCUUCCCUAUCUCAAUUUUGUAAAUAUUCUCUUGUGUUUCCUUUAAUAUUCAUUUUAUUUUUAUUUUCACUUUAGGCUUUUUAAUCAGUCUGGAAUUUAUUGUGUGAGGGUGAGAGACAGAGGCUAAUUCAUUAGCACUUAGGGGAUGAAUAAAAUUAUAGCAUUUGCUGCCUUGAUUUUUUUAACGCUUAUUUUUUAAAAUCUCAAUACAGGUGAUAACAUCAAUGAGCUAAGAAACUGUCAAAAUUUUAUUAUUUUUAUUUAAACUUCAGAAUGGUCUCCUCUAAGUUAAACCUGAGUUAGAUUCUAAAUGGGGUAAGUUUUCUAUAUCAGUGCUUGCCACCCAAAAGGCCAUGCAUAUAAAUGGUCAAUGGUUAUUUAGUCAUUUACUAUGUAUUUAUGGAACUUAAUGUGCAGUUCUCAUGGACUCAUGUGUCUAAUGAGGAAAAAGAGCCUAUUCUGGAAUCCUUGAGGGAGCUUGACUGCACCAUGCAUCUGAGCUCUCCAGUCAGGAAAAUCACAGCUGCUUGCUCUUAAGGCCCCAGCUCCUCCCAAUCUGAGUUGAUGUCCCCAAAUGGAUUAUAUACUAAGUCUAUCCUCAAUUAGACAAAAGUCCAGUUCGAACUUUAUAGCAAAUCCCCAGGGCCAGUUUUUGGUUAUAGACAUGAUUUCCUCAGGCAAGACUGCCCACUUAAGGAAAACUAUUUUCUUGGCAGGCUGGUGAUCAACGUAGGGUCACAUAUGGCAGAAGUAUGUCUGAACUCAGUCUGUUCUUCCCCUUUGUCUGAAAUGGAGCCGGCUUUUUGUGCCUGUUAAGCAUCAGUGCUCACUGAGGAAUACUUGUAUGCAGACUCUCCAGUCGCUCACAGCAUGAAGCAGUUUUGUUCUGCUCACCCCUCCUCUUUCCUUUUGCUUUACACAUUUUUGGGAAGGCCAGAUUACUUGCGAUUUAGUUAAUGUGUUAUGGGACUGGAGCCUGAGCUAGGGUGUAGGGAAGACACAACCCUUUUAGAAUGACAAAGAGCAUGGUUUUAGACUGGUGAGCUGCACGUGCAACUGUGAACUGUCUGGGCUGAUUUGCUUGGAAAUUGCUGUGCUGGCCAAGCUCCAGAAAUGUAAUCCACAGUGGCCUGAAAUCACAAGUUUUGCUGCUUGCAUUCUUAGUUUCACAAUUUAAGGAUUUGGCUGGUGCCUGUCCUGAAAGCAUGGGAUUUUCUACUGUUUGUGCACACAUGCCAUUGAGUGUGUGUGUGUGCAUAUGUGUGUGUGUGUGCAGUGCACACGGGCUUGUCUGCACAGGCAUAUUUUACAGCUGAACUCUUUAUACCUAUGGGGAGGCAGUAAUUAAAGAACAUAGUAUAUGGCAGAUUUUCUUUGAUUUCAAGAAUAGCAUGUGUGGAUUUGUAAGUUCCUGUCUUGGGAGAAAUGUGAUGGAGAAUCUUACGUGUAAGUGCAAUUGAUUCACUAGCUAAAAGACCUUGCCUCAAAAUAUCUGAGGAUAAUUUACUUAGGAGAAUUCAACAUGCCAUUUUUUUUUUGAGGAACAGGUGUAAUGACCACAUUUUGGGGGAAGUGAAGACCUGAGCUUUGAGGAAGUUAAGCCUGAGGCCACGAGCAGCAGUUAUUUAUAUCACUGUGAUGUGUAUUGAAAGCCUGUGACUUUCAUUCCACCACAGUCACGGAAGUAGUUUAGAGAAGAGGAUGGGUGUGCAUUUUGCCUUGUUAAUCAUCUACCACACUAAGAGCUUCUGGUGUGGUUCAGAUUUCUGGUAAUCUGUACCCUGGCUCUACUGCCAACAAAAGGGUGCUUACUUGCUCUUCCUCAGCCUACUCUGUGGAGAAAAUGGCUCACUUCCGAAUGGUUGAUAGAUGUGUGAAAUGAUUCUUGCUUCCUUUCCCAAGAUGCCCCCUGUGUGAGCAUCCUGGUGUGUGUGUUAGAGGGGAGGGAGAGAAUUUUCAUUGUCUCUAAGCUCAAAAUAAAGACACUGGACUCUAACAACCAACAAAAACAGAACAUUAGGAACUCUUGUGUUUGCUAUUAUAAUAAAUGAAGCCUCAUGUAACUAGCUUCCAUUUUUCUCUCUUGAGUUGUAAAGCUACUCCCCAACCCCACCAACACUCACAGCCCCAGGCUCUUUUGGUUGUGGGAAAUGAGUGUGUUUGGGGACAAACAUGUCAGAAUUAUGAGGGAGAAACUUGGCAGGGAAACGAACUAUGCAAUAUGCUUGACAAGAAUUGAGAAACAAUACAUCUCAGAUUUUCUGAGAAUGUCUCAAUUUUUGGUUCAGAAAUAUGACCCAGAGGCUACAGAAAGGGAAUUACUGUUGCAGCUCCAUUCGGGACAUGAACAGGCAGUCUUAACUGAGGAGCCAGCACCGGGUAUUUCAGCACAGAAAGAUGAGGUGUCUGUAGGUGAGGGACUUGGUCCUGCUUCCACCAGGGGUAGGUGGAAAUUGAAAAGAGAGAACUUGUGGACUUUUGCUUUAAAUAAGAAAACCAGGAGGUAGAUGUCCACAAAGCAAAAUACCCAGAAUGGUAGAGCAGUAAGGAAAUGCUAGGUGGCGGGAAACACGUGCAUGUUUGCCUAAAUGUUGAGAUUUUUCUGGGCUCACCUAAUCUCAGUCCUUUGGAGUUUUCCUUUUAUGAGGGUAAACAUGGUUUAAUAGUGAGCAAAUAUUAGUUCAGAUAAUUAAAACCAUUCGAGUUGGACAGGAAACAUUCAAGGGAAAUGUGCAGGUGCCUGCAAGCAAGGGUGGCACCAGGAGGGUCUUGGUAUGUUGGCUCCCUCUCCCCCAGGAGGAGCGUCCCUGGAGUGAAGCCACACACAGCCAGAGAGGAAACAGACGACUUGUAAAAAACAGGAGCAGGGUGGAAACAUUCUGAACGUAUUUAUACGCUGUGAGCCCUGGGGAGAGUGUAAGAGGCAUCUGGGGUAUUUGCAUUUUUGUUUGUUGGAGGCGUCUCACAACUCUCUCUCUCAUUCAUUCAGGACACGGGAUUUCCAAGACUGUUGCCAUCUUAGAGUUUGUGUUUUCAGCUUCACUACAGGUGUCAUCACACAUAUUAAAGAAAGACAGUUCUAGGAUGACUUAAAACAGAGAAGCCAGCCUGAAAUUCAAUUUUGGACCAUAGAUGCAUUUUCCUUCCGGAGGGAGCCAUGUGAUUUCUCCCGUCCUCACCAUCCUGCAUUCUUUUCAUUCCAAGGGCUGGUCACAUCAGGACAGAAGCCCUCAUCCUCAGGCCCUUGUUGAUGAAUGGGAGGCAUGCCCUGCUUAAGUUUUUUCCAAACCAGAGCAGCGACUAAUGGAUGUGUAACUCACCAUAAUCCAUGGCAAGGGAAAACUUUUGGGUGUUUGAAUGAAGUGCCAUAUCUGGAAAUGCAGAAGAUAAUUGCUCUUACUGAGUGCUUACUAUGUCCUUGAUAUUAAGAACAAUAUUUCGCCUAUAUUCUCUCUUAAUGUCAUCAGCUUUACAAGCAAACUUCCCUGGAACUGUGAAGGAAAUAUCAAAAGGCCCAUCAGUUUGUUCCUCUGCCUCCAGACUUUGGAUACAAGCAGGACAACCAUUCCCUUUCAAGGACCCCUCUGGAAACCAGACCACUGCUUUGGAUUUGGUGUUCUUAUUGUGCUGGAGCUACCUCAGGAGAGCCCAGAAAUACUCCACUGCCUGCCAGUGCUUCUCAAAAUGUGUUCUCAGCAUCCCAAUCAGAAAUGUCUAGGGAGCUGUUAGAAGGUACAGACCAACUGAAUCAGAGUUUCCAGUGGUGGGGCCUAGGAAUCUGUGUCUCACAAGCAUUACUGGUGCUGGUAACCACACAGCCAAGUGAGAGAGAAACUGCACUGACAUGUAUACCUCUUCAGAGCAGGGAUCCUGUGGAAUCGCCCUCUGUUAGCCCCGGGACACCUGGCACAGUGAUGUACAGCAGACAUAGGUGUUUGGUGAGUUCAAUGCAGAAAUGUAUUUCUUAGGAAGGAAGUGAGAGCGGGGAAGGUAGGAAAAGAAAGAUAAUGGGUGUGGAAGACAGGGUGGCUUGAGGGCUUUUGCAGGAAGUGGGAAAUCUCAGGCUGACUUGAGAUGCCCACUCUUGAGGUCCUUUGAGUGCUACCAAUAGAUAUUAAGGUGAUGUCUUUCCUUUUUUCUUUUUUCCCCCACAGAUGUGUACUUUAGUCCCAGGAAUUUUUUUUGAAACCUAAUCUUUCAAUUCCAGAAUGAGUAAUUGUGUAUAAAGUGGGUCACAAGGAAGUGAUAACUAAUGCGCAGACUAUUUUAACUGCUGAAUCAGAAAUCUCUGUGCUGCAUUUUGAAAUAUGCAGGAAGGAAAAUACACAGAUGAUAGCAGUGGAAGGAGUCCUAAAAUAAUAUUUUCACAAAUUCUGGCCCAACAUACCCCUUGGGGUUUGGGGUGCUCCAAUGAUAACACACUCCUGAGAGGUGAAGAAUUGGAAUAAAACUGCCAAACCAGAAAUCUUUCCAAAGGACACAGGACCACUCAGCCUGACAGGCUGAAAGCUGCCACAGUGCCGUGGGGGCAUCUGAGUCACUCUGCUUUAUAGCACAGGCAGGGCUUCAGGAAAGCAAAGGUAAACAAAACCCACAAACAAAACUUUAAAAUCUGUUUUAUUUGCUCUUCCUAAAACAAAGAAACAAAAUGCACUUUUUUGGUUUAAUUUGUUUCACAGAUUUUUUUCAUUUGGUAAACUAUACACAAUAUUAAAAUUACCAUUUUAACCAUGAUUGGCAUUAAGUGCCUUCACAAUGUUGUGCAACUGUCACCACUAUCUAUUUCCAGAACUUUUUCAUCAUCCCAAACAGAAACUCUAUACCUAAUAAGCAAUAAUUUCCCAUGUCCCCAGUCUCUGGUAACCAUCAUUCUACUUUAUGUCUCUAUGAAUUUCCUAUUCUAGGUGCUUUAUAUAAAUGGAAUAAUACGGUAUUUGUCCUAGUUCACUUAGCAUAACAUUUUCAAGGUGCAUUCAAGUUGUGGCAUGUAUCAGAGCUACAUUCCUCUGUAUGGCUGCAUAAUAAUUCCAUCACAUGUAUGACUACAUUUACUGACAGACAGUGGGUUGUUUCCACCUUUGGCCAGUGUAAGUAACGCUGCUGUGAACAUUGGUAUGUAAGUAUCUGGUUCAGUCCCUAUUUUCAAUUCUUUGAGUAGAUACCCUGGAGUGAAAUUGCUGAAUCCUAUGAUAAUUCUAUGUUUAAUUUCUGAGGAAACAAGAACUGUUUUCCAUACUGACUGCACUGUUUCACUGUCCCAUCAGCCACGGGUGAGAGUUCCAGUUCCUCUACAUCCUCACCACACUUGCUAUGUUUUUUUAAUUAAUAGCCAUCCUAAAGGUGUGAAUUGGUAUCUCAUUGUGGUUUUGAUAGAUUUUUAAAUGAAAAUCGUACUGAGGAUGUAUAGGUAAUUUCACAAAAUGUAGGCUUUAAACAGAGACUAGGAAUCAUAACGUGCUGAAAAUAAUACUAAGAAUGUUUGUAAUUCAUUGUGCACAGUAUUUUUUUGUUAUUCAUAUUUUUGGUGUAAAUUUCUAAAUUUAUUUCCUGUAUUCUCAUCUUGUGUAUCAAUUAAGUUUUCUUCUUGAUACAAGGUUCAAAUUUUAUCCAAUGUUCUAAAAACAAUUUUUGUCCAUGACAUUUAAAAGUGGUUUAAUAUUUGAUGACAGUUGUUAUUCUGGUACCCACUGAACCAGCCUUUGAGGUCCAGUAGAUGGUUUUGAUUCCAUUGUUAAGCUAUGCAGCAUUUUGUAAUCAUUAGGAACAAACAUAAAGUUGUUUCUUUGAGGUUGAGCUGCGGUCAUUUCUUAAAAUAAUUACUGUAGUCAAAUGACAGAUCUAAUGUAUUCAGAUUAAAUCUUAAUUUUUUCUUUGGCUGUAACCAACACAUUGAUAAAGAGAAACCUUACAUUAACACUUGGUCAAUAAAUACUUGAGGGCCGCUAUUAGCCUGCCUUUGUGCUGGAUGCGGAGUACACAUUGGUGACUGAACAGAUCACAUCUUACGGGAUAACUUAUAAAAGUUCAGGGUUAAAUUUGACCUAGGACCAAAUUGUACUUACUGAAUUGAUUUUUACACGCCUUUCCCAAAAUUCUUUCCCAAAAGGAUUAGCUUAUAAGAGGUACACACCGUAAUGUUAACAUGCAAAAAGGUAGAGUCCAAAUCAGGAAGGGAGCUAGCAACGUGCUAGAGCCCUGACUUGCAUAUGUUUGAUACAAUUACUGUCGUGUAAUUACUAUGUUACUCUUUUUGGCACAAACUUUAGGGAUGUGUUUGCUUAGAGAAAAACAAGUAACACUGACUUAAUUAAGAAGAGGUUCAUUUAACUCACAUAACAAGAAGCCUGAAAAUAUGUAAUGCAUGGCUAGAGCAGUAACUAUCAGGGACCCGGGUUCUUUGUCUUUCUGCUGUGCCAUCCUUAGAUGUAUCUCAUGAGCAUCUCAUGCUCUUACCUCAUGGUCCCAAAAUGAUUGCUUCACCUCAGGGCAGGAAGAAAGAAGGGCAAAGGGGCAAGAGCUUUCUCCUACCUUCCUUUUUUUCCUCCAAAAGGAAUAUCCUGUCAAGAACUAGAAAGGGUCUGAGAUUUCAACUUACUUACAAGCUAACAAAUUAGCCUGCCAUGGCUUCAUGGAUGCUGGCAGAACACACAAGGCUCCUGGAUCAGAGACAACAGACUUGUUACAACAUAGCAAGCAGUAUAAGCAUCAGCAAAUUUGUGGUAGUUCUCAUUGCCUUUCAGUCCCACUGAGGCAAUACAGAUUGGCCCCCAGGAAUGCUUGCCCACUUGGUGGGUUGUCUUACAGGAGAGGAACCUGAGCUUAGGUGCCCGAAAUCUUCUAUAAUGGGCAGUAGGAAGGCCUGCCCUUUGCUCUAGAGUGAAACAUUGUUUUUCUGUCUUCCAAGGCUCCAGGCAAGCCUCCCCAUUGCUCUGGAGAGACAGUACCUCAAUCUUCCAAGGUUGUAUGCCAUUCACACAUCCUUGGGAAGAUACUUGGAAACAAAAGAUAGUCAGUGUCUCUGCUUGUAAGAUAUACAGAAAUGAAAGGGACCAUGGAGAAUUGUCUUCUAACAAUAUCCUCCUCAGGGCCUUCUGCUUAUAUAUUACUGGCCAGAACUACAUCAUACGGCCACCUCUAACUCCAAGGGAGGCUAUGAAAUUGAGUAUUUUUAGCGGGGUACAUUGCUGCUGUAAAUAAAACUGUGGUUCUGUUAGUAAGGAAAGGCAAGCAAGGGAUGAGGCUUUGCAAGAACAAGGCAAAACUGUGCCGAAGUGUUUUUAUCUAUAUGACCAAAGCCUUUUCUCCAUUGCAUAACAAAUGUUAUGACACUUAACUUACUGAUCCUGCAAGAAAUAAUUUGUACAACUUAGACAUAAGAAAACUCCCAGUCAAGUACCAUUUUACAAAUUUCAGAUGAGCUAUUGGUAGUUUAGUAUAGAAUUUUAAUGUCACAACUGCAUAAUAUCUCAGUGUAAAAAGCCAGUAAUUCCUCAGAACUCUCCCCAUUUAUAAAAUCUGUAUUCGUUAUUUUUACAGACCAUUUUUGGGGCAUGAGAAUUAAAAAGUCUUCUGAGAAAACAUUUAUGGCAUGAAAUUUCCCCCAAUCUCAGUGUCUAUAGCAUAAAGAACAUGUUCUACUUUGUGAACAGAUAGGUGUUUGGUAAGAGGUUUAUAAAUAUACCUUUGCUGCUUUCAUUUAUUUUAAGAGGAUUUUUUCACCUCAUGACAGUCAUUUGAGACUGGAAAUGUUACCAUGGAAACCCUGCUCCAAAAUGCUGAUUGCCAGUGAAUAUUGAUCUGUAAGCAUCUUGGCAGCUUUCACCAGUGUGCUUACCUGCCUAACAUGAAGGAGGCUUUGCUCAGAGCACAUUUAGGUCAAGGAGUCCACACCCAGUGGUGGUUAGGUACUACAAAGGACAUCUACUGAACUUUCCCAGGAACCAAUCUAAGGAUCCCACUGAAAAUCCUGGCCCAACCCUGGCUUACAUUUCCACUGAAAAAGAGAGGGGUAAACCUUUGUUUGUUCCCGUUUCAGCUGCACUGGGAGAGUUCAGAAGCUCAGUCAAGGUGAUACAUGGGGCAUGGAGGGAAAAUUCUGGAUGUGAAUGGGCAUGCCUUGCCCAGAGGCAAAGAAAUUUGCAAACUACUUUUCAAAGCCCUUACUCUAUGAUUUUGAAAUAAAAAUGCUUCUCUCCCAAAAGAGAAGGAGAGAUUUUAAUCUGGGCAGUGCACUGGGAACUUAAUGAUUGAUCCAAACCAGAGUCCUGGGGGAUGGUGAAGAUAAUGAUUAUCAGGGCUGGAGCAAGGUGAAUCACAGAUGGAGUCCACUCCUCUUCUCCAUAAACCUGGAGAGCCUUUCCCCUUCAGUGGGGUUUUGUGUAUGAGCAAGGGGAAGCUUGUUGGGGAAAGCAGCUUUGAAAACUGAAUUCUCCUUGCCAAGAACUAAUGGACUGUCUUCAACAUGCAUGAAAAUAUGUUCUGCCUGGUGACCAGAGAAGCCAAAAUGAGGCCUCCACAGAUGUAAUCUGCCAUCACUCUCUCUCCAUGUGGGACGAUCUGGAUGCACUUAUUUUACUCUUUGCUGUAACUAAGAAGAAAACAAACAAAAACCCUUGCAAAAGUCCAUUGAGACAACAGUCGGUCCCAAAAGAGGAAUUUGAACCAAGAUAACAUGAGUUACCUUUUAUCCACGUGUUCCUGAAGCCUGACCACUAACUGUUGAACAAAUAUGCUCUACCCUUUCACCAUUGCAUUAAAACUUAACCAAGUCAGAAUAGACAUUGUAUAAUUAAAAGAAUCUACACUUGUACACACACACGUCUUUUAAUAUGUUGAGAACUACAGACAGAACUAAAGAAUCCCAAGAGCAGGUGCGACAUUUCACUUUCUUCUAUCUUUGUCCUGUGUUUGGAGAGGCCACCAUGUGUUGUGGUGAGGUGGAAAUUUAGGGAGAAAGUGUAACAGAAGAAAUUGCUCACCCAUUACUUGCAGCUAUUGCUGCCUUUAUGGAGCCUGAGUAUGAGCAAGACACUGUUCUUCAGUGCUUUACAGGAGGAUUUCAUUGAAUGCUCGUUAACUGGCCUAUCAGGUGAAUGUGAUUAUAAUCCCCAUUUUACACUUGUGGGAAAUUAGACACGGAGAAGUUGAGUGACUCACCCAAUACCACAGAGCUAGGACCUAUGCCUCUUGAGUAAAAUAAUAGACAUGUCCCCACUUGCUUAGUGGCUCUGGGUACUCUGAGUAAAAUGCUAUGGUAGGAAGGGCAGAGGAGAUAGAGCUGCGGUGUGCUGGAGGGGACAAAAAAAGGGAGGCUCUGAAGGUCAAGGCAAAGGCAGUAUCUCCAAGGAUAGCGCAAUCUCUCAUUGGUGAGGUGUUGGUCAAGUUCCCCAGCCUCAGAGGCCUGUCCAGGGUUUCUUGCUUUCAGGGUCACGUUGCUCAACUGCCCGUAGGGUGCUGCAGACCUGGAAGGAAGCCCAGGCUGUAAGGCUGACAGCACCUGGCUGGUCUUCUACUCAAAGACAGAGGAGAAUGUCAUUCCUCGGUAAAUUCUCCUUCAAAUGACCUUCCUGAGAUAAGCCCUGUCAGUUUCAGAGUCUGCCCUCCUCAGUUUAUCCUCUCUGGCUCCUCUGAUAUCCAGCCAGUUCCCCUGAUGUCCCUGGAUACUGGGAGCUGUGUUCCAAGGGGAGUGGAGUC